Molecule: ribosomal RNA, 408 nt
Filed under: uncultured bacterium
Lineage: Bacteria
Description: bacterial SSU rRNA
Rfam family: Bacterial small subunit ribosomal RNA
Source: RNAcentral
AACGAACGCUGGCGGCGUGCCUAACACAUGCAAGUCGAACGCGAAAAGCAGUAAUGCUGAGUAGAGUGGCGCACGGGUGAGUAACACGUAACUGACAUGUCCUGAAGACAAGGAUAACCGUUCGAAAGGAUGGCUAAUACUUGGUAAGCCCCCGAGUUAGGACUUGAGGGAAAAGGGUUGGGAUUUUUAGAACCAAUCGCUUUAGGAGUGGGUUGCGGCCCAUCAGCUAGUUGGCGAGGUAAAAGCNCACCAAGGCUAAGACGGGUAGCUGGUCUGAGAGGAUGAUCAGCCACACUGGAACUGAGACACGGUCCAGACUCCUACGGGAGGCAGCAGUGGGGAAUCUUGCGCAAUGGGGGAAACCCUGACGCAGCAACGCCGCGUGGGUGAUGAAGGUCUUCGGAUCGU